CCUACGGGUGGCAGCAGUAGGGAAUCUUCCACAAUGGGCGAAAGCCUGAUGGAGCAACGCCGCGUGGGUGAAGAAGGUCUUCGGAUCGUAAAACCCUGUUGGUAGAGAAGAAAGUGCGUGAGAGUAACUGUUCACGUUUCGACGGUAUCUAACCAGAAAGCCACGGCUAACUACGUGCCAGCAGCCGCGGUAAUACGUAGGUGGCAAGCGUUAUCCGGAUGUAUUGGGCGUAAAGGGAGCGCAGGCGGUCUUUUAAGUCUGAUGUGAAAGCCUUCGGCUUAACCGGGGUAGUGCAUUGGAAACUGUGAGACUUGAGGGUAGAAGAGGAAGGUGGAAGUCCAUGUGUAGCGGUGAAAUGCGUAGAUAUAUGGAAGAACACCAGUGGCGAAGGCGGCUCUCUGGUCUGUAACUGACGCUGAGGUUCGAAAGCGUGGGUAGCAAACAGGAUUAGAUACCCGGGUAGUC
This 465-nucleotide ribosomal RNA is filed under the name uncultured bacterium. Its description in RNAcentral is "partial 16S ribosomal RNA". It matches the Rfam family "Bacterial small subunit ribosomal RNA", at positions 338 to 795 of the family's 1533-position model. The record is from RNAcentral.